This 514-nucleotide long non-coding RNA is filed under the name Astyanax mexicanus (Mexican tetra). Its description in RNAcentral is "lncRNA (ENSAMXG00005005690.1)". Lineage: Eukaryota; Metazoa; Chordata; Actinopteri; Characiformes; Acestrorhamphidae. The record is from RNAcentral.
CAGGUAAUGCUAAUGCUACUAUAGCAGUGGUAGCCAGGGUUAGCAGCAGGCUACAGGACUAUGAUACUCCCCUCCAAAUGGAAGGAAAACAACAGAUUGUGAGAGUGAAAGUGAGCUCAGAUGGAAACAUUAAUCUGAAUCUCCAGACAGUGAGAUCAGACAUUUUGAAACAGAUUCAGCAGAAUCUGAGGAAUCAAGGCAUGAACCUGUAUGUAAAGCUAAACUGGAGACGAAAUGCUGGAAUCAUUUUUCAACCAGAGGAGAAUAAAGUGGAAAACAGCACGAAGAGGUUAUGUGAUGAAAUGUAGACUUUUCUAAUAAUUGAAUAUAUAUAUAUAUAUAUAUAUUUUAGCAAAAACUGGAAAAGAUAUUGUCAUAUAGGAUAUUAAAAUAUUGUAAUUGUAACAUUUUGUGUAAUGGAGACCAUAUAUUAAAUUUUCUUAUGCUAUAAAAAAGUUUGUAUUUUAUUUCAUGGUGAAUUAAAGAAGCUUUUUUUUUUUUUUUUAAUGUUUUA